This 250-nucleotide ribosomal RNA is filed under the name uncultured prokaryote. Its description in RNAcentral is "partial 16S ribosomal RNA". It matches the Rfam family "Bacterial small subunit ribosomal RNA", at positions 524 to 773 of the family's 1533-position model. The record is from RNAcentral.
UACGUAUGGAGCAAGCGUUAACCGGAUUUACUGGGUGUAAAGGGAGCGUAGACGGUGAGGCAAGUCUGUUGUGAAAGGUGUGGGCUCAACCCGCAAACUGCAUUGGAAACUGUCCCGCUUGAGUGUCGGAGAGGUAAGUGGAAUUCCUAGUGUAGCGGUGAAAUGCGUAGAUAUUAGGAGGAACACCAGCGGCGAAGGCGGCUUACUGGACGAUAACUGACGUUGAGGCUCGAAAGCGUGGGGAGCAAAC